UAUUGUCAUUUCGACAAAAUAGUAGUGCAGUACAUAUUGAAAUGAAACAUUUCUCCAGAAAUAUGGUUAUACGGACACUGGGUUAUAACAACAAAAAUCUAAGAACUAAAAAAUACAUUCAUAUAAAGUUUCUUAAAGUCUUAAGAUUAAAAUAUUUGUUAUAUGGUACAUUGUUGUCUUGUCUGCACUGCAUUACAUCUACAGUAUAGGAUGAUAUACCUGUGGGCUGUUUUUAUUUAUAGUUUUGUUUAUAAUGUUUUGCUUCAGCGUUUAAUGCUUCAUCUUGUAAGCUUUGUGAAGAGGGCUGGACAGCAUACGGUGGAAAGUGUUAUUUCUUCUCUUCUGAAAAGAUGACUUGGUUUGAGGCUCAUAAUUUCUGUAUACAUUGAAAGCUCAUCUGGUCACCAUCAACAGCAAAGCUGUACAUGAUUUCCUGGUGUCUAAAAUUAAAGAGACUCACUGGAUCGGUCUUAAUGAUCUGAAGACUGAAGGUCGAUCGUCAUUCAUGGGUUUGGGUGAAUGAUCAAAGUCUUGAAGAAACCGGAGUAAAGUUCCGGUUCAGUAACCAGCCGGAUAACUGGACUGGAGAUAAUCCAUCUGGAGAGGACUGUGUCUGUCUGGGAUUUAACCGUGAAUUUUUAAACUCUUGGUUUGACACAUCUUGCGAAUACAAGAAAAAGUUCAUCUGUGAAAUAAAGUUCAUUGCACUUUAGUGAUGACUAUAGUGACAGUUUCUAUCUUAUAUUGAGGAUCUUUACACGUCUCUCUGUAUUGUGCAUUUAAAUCGUAUUAAAUAAA
Molecule: long non-coding RNA, 798 nt
Organism: Paramisgurnus dabryanus
Lineage: Eukaryota; Metazoa; Chordata; Actinopteri; Cypriniformes; Cobitidae
Source: RefSeq, a predicted model, not a curated record